AUUGAACGCUGGCGGCAUGCUUUACACAUGCAAGUCGAACGGCAGCGCGGGCUUCUUCCUGGCGGCGAGUGGCGAACGGGUGAGUAAUGCAUCGGAACGUGCCCAGUAGUGGGGGAUAGCCCGGCGAAAGCCGGAUUAAUACCGCAUACGACCUGAGGGUGAAAGCGGGGGACCGAAAGGCCUCGCGCUAUUGGAUGUGCCGAUGUCGGAUUAGCUAGUUGGUGGGGUAAAGGCUUACCAAGGCGACGAUCCGUAGCUGGUCUGAGAGGACGACCAGCCACACUGGAACUGAGACACGGCCCAGACUCCUACGGGAGGCAGCAGUGGGGAAUCUUCGGCAAUGGGGGCAACCCUGAUCCAGCCAUGCCGCGUGAGGGAAGAAGGCCUUCGGGUUGUAAACCGCUUUUGUUCGGGAAGAAAUCCUCUGGGCUAAUACCCCGGGGGCAUGACGGUACCGGAAGAAUAAGCACCGGCUAACUACGUG
This 484-nucleotide ribosomal RNA is filed under the name uncultured bacterium. RNAcentral's name for it is "partial 16S ribosomal RNA". It matches the Rfam family "Bacterial small subunit ribosomal RNA", at positions 29 to 507 of the family's 1533-position model. The record is from RNAcentral.